Molecule: ribosomal RNA, 209 nt
Filed under: uncultured bacterium
Lineage: Bacteria
Description: partial 16S ribosomal RNA
Rfam family: Bacterial small subunit ribosomal RNA
Source: RNAcentral
UACGGAGGGAGCUAGCGUUGUUCGGAAUUACUGGGCGUAAAGCGCGCGUAGGCGGUCUAUUAAAGUUGGGGGUGAAAAUUCCCGGGAGCCUCAACUCCGGAAACUGCCUCCCAAAACUGCUAGACUCGAGUUCGGAAGAGGUAAGUAGAAUUCCCAGUGUAGAGGUGAAAUUCGUAGAUAAUGGGAAAGAAUACCAGUGGCGGAAAGGC